Molecule: ribosomal RNA, 435 nt
Filed under: uncultured bacterium
Lineage: Bacteria
Description: partial 16S ribosomal RNA
Rfam family: Bacterial small subunit ribosomal RNA
Source: RNAcentral
AGCGAACGCUGGCGGCAGGCUUAACACAUGCAAGUCGAGCGGGCACUUUCGGGUGUCAGCGGCGGACGGGUGAGUAACGCGUGGGAACGUGCCCUCUGGUUCGGAAUAACUCAGGGAAACUUGAGCUAAUACCGGAUACGCCCUUUUGGGGAAAGGCUUGCUGCCGGAGGAUCGGCCCGCGUCUGAUUAGCUAGUUGGUGAGGUAACGGCUUACCAAGGCGACGAUCAGUAGCUGGUCUGAGAGGAUGAUCAGCCACACUGGGACUGAGACACGGCCCAGACUCCUACGGGAGGCAGCAGUGGGGAAUAUUGGACAAUGGGCGCAAGCCUGAUCCAGCCAUGCCGCGUGAGUGAUGAAGGCCUUAGGGUUGUAAAGCUCUUUUAUCCGGGACGAUAAUGACGGUACCGGAGGAAUAAGCCCCGGCUAACUUCGUG